CCUGCUGCUGCCCAUUCCCGACUGUCUCCGCGUCCCAGUCUGUACUGGCUCCCACUCUAUCGAGUUGAGUUGCGCUUGUGCCAGUCAUUUCUUUUCUUUUUUAAGGGUAGCUAGCAUCAAGACGACGGAGCCCACACCAUUUCGUAGCAGGUUCUUCGAAGGUGGCGACCUGUGCUGCUGCUGCGGCUGCUUAUGAAUCCAAGUGAGGAGGGUCUCGUGAGGAUCAGAGGGGUGAGGUGGUGGUGGGACGCGCUAGUGCGUGAUUUCGACUGUUUCUUUGUACAGAGGUUGGAUUGUCCGAGUUCGUUUGUUCACGGGGUCAGGUGGAGGUGUGCGGUUUCGUUCUUAGCUUGGCUGUCUUUAAAUGUGCGUGGUGCUGCACGAAUCUUCGAGAUUCAACAUUGACUCGAGUUGCUUAGUUUAGGCGCUAUUGACGGGCGUCCAAGAUGUUGCUGCUCUGAUUGAAGUAGCUGCCGCGCCUUGAUUGUGUAUUUUGACGUCAAGGUCUCGCUGCUAGGUUUGCGAGAAUCCGGUGGAGGAUUUAUUGGUCCAUGUGAAAGCAGUCGGUACGUCUGAGAGUACUGCUUACUUCUAGUUGCUUCCGCUUCGUUCCACAAGCUUACUGCGUAUUGCCAAGAACUUGUCUGCAUCUAGCCCCAACUGGAUCCAGUUGAUAGGAUAGCAGCCAUGGUUUGCAGAUCAGUCUGUACACUGAUAACAUUCUCGGUAGUACUCCUCAUACUAUCCUCGCUAGCGUCUGCAAUAAGGUCUUCACCAUUCGACUCUACUGCAAGGGAUGGGUUUUACUCGGAGCCUGCCUUACCGCCUCUAGGAUCAGGGUCACAGGUAUCAUCAGGACCAGCAUGGCCUGAAUUCCGAGAAGCACCGGCGUUUCGAAAUGGGAAGCAGUGCGCUUUCGUGAACCGAACACAGAACGAACUAGACCACAUAUGCGACCGGAACUCGGUGCACAUUUCUAUGACACUCGAUGUGAAAUAUCUGCGAGGGUCCAUGGCGGCCGUUUUCUCGAUCUUGAAGCAUACUGCGUGUCCGGAGAAUGUCAUCUUUCACUUCUUCGCCGCGGACCGAGAUGAACAGCUGCGAUCCCUUGUCUUUUCUACGUUCCCCUUUUUGAGAUUCAAAGUGUAUCACUUCAACGACGCACUGGUGAAUUCUAGAAUUUCUCCUUCUGUUCGGCCAGCGCUGGAACAUCCUUUGAACUACGCUCGUAGCUACCUGGCAGAUAUUUUGGAGCCGUGCAUUCAGAGAGUCAUCUACUUGGACUCGGAUCUCAUUGUUGUGGACGAUAUUGUGAAACUGUGGGGGACAAAGUUAGGGCCUCAUGCCAUCGGCGCCCCAGAGUAUUGCCACACUAACGUGACGAAAUACUUCACGGAUGCGUUCUGGAACAACAGAAUCUUGUCCAGCACUUUUGAUGGCAAGAAGCCUUGUUAUUUUAAUACCGGAGUUAUGGUGAUGGAUAUGGUGAAGUGGAGAACCGAGAACUAUCGCGCAGUAAUCGAGCAGUGGAUGGCAGUGCAAAGUAGUACGAGGAUUUACGACCUAGAUUCGCUCCCUCCGUUCUUGCUUGUUUUUGGAGGAUCGGUGGAGCCAAUUGACCACAGAUGGAAUCAGCAUGGCCUGGGCGGAGACAAUCUGGAGGGUAAGUGCAGGCCACUUCAUCCGGGUCCUGUGAGUUUGUUGCAUUGGAGUGGCAAGGGCAAGCCAUGGAUCCGAAUUGAUCAAAAGAGAAAGUGUUCUGUGGAUAGCUUAUGGGCGCCUUAUGACCUUCUUCUCCCCUCCACAUUAUCUUAUCAAUAAGGGUGGAGUUCAACGGGUGCCAAGAAGCGAAGGUUAAGAACUGACAAUAGUUGCGUAUAGUUUCAUAGAUUGUAGAUGUACAAUAUUAAAGAAUUAGAUGAGGGCAAAGGAGUCCGACUCAUUUGAUGGGCUUCUACUAUUCUUUCUGAGAAGUAUUUAAUAAGUUUGUGAACACGUAUCCGCAGUAAUUUUAGGGCAUCAUUCACGUCAGUGAGAUUGCGACCCUCGAGAAAAGAAUCCGGUAGGGAAAGUGAGAUGAUUCGGAAUCCCAUGAAAGGAUUUUGUGUCUAGUGCCUAGGUUUUGUACAUCGUAGCGAACGGUGAUUUGUGCACAGGGUCUGCGAAGUGCAUUCCUGUGUACGGUUGUCAUUAGUCGUGUUUGCAGAGUGCCUGCAGCACGAAACUUUGGGUUUUUAAAUUUUUCUAAAAAAAUAAUUUGUAGUCAGCUGAAGAGCUGCGUAUCACUUUUGUCAGAUUGUAUAAAUUUAUGAUGCUACCACUUACAAGAAA
This is a non-coding RNA of Physcomitrium patens, 2331 nucleotides long. Lineage: Eukaryota; Viridiplantae; Streptophyta; Bryopsida; Funariales; Funariaceae. The record is from RefSeq and is a predicted model, not a curated record.